GGCACUUUUUAAAUCCAUAUCCACCUUGUGUGCAAUGUCGGUCGAUCUUUCUUCUUGGAAGAUCAGCCAAACAUCAACUUAUUUUUUUAACUCUUUGUCUGAAAAAUAUUAUGAAUAAACAAUUCAAAAUACAACUUUCAACAACGGAUCUCUUGGCUCUCGCAUCGAUGAAGAACGCAGCGAAAUGCGAUACGUAAUGUGAAUUGCAGAAUUCAGUGAAUCAUCGAAUCUUUGAACGCAUAUUGCGCUCUUUGGUAUUCCGAAGAGCAUGCUUGUUUGAGUAUCAGUAAACACCUCAAAGCUUUUGAUUUAUUUUGAAGGCUUUGGACUUGAGCGAUCCCAACACCAAUCUUUUAAGAUCGGCGGCGGGUUGCUUGAAAUGCAGGUGCAGCUGGACAUUCUCCUGAGCUAAAAGCAUAUUUAUUUAGUCCCGUCAAACGGAUUAUUACUUUUGCUGCAGCUAAUAUAAAGGGAGUUCGGCCGUUUUGGCUGACUGAUGCAGGAUUUCACAAGGGUCGGCAACGAUUCUUGUUAAACUCGAUCUCAAAUCAAGUAAGACUACCCGCUGAACUUAAGCAUAUCAAUAAGCGGAGGAAAAGAAACUAACAAGGAUUCCCCUAGUAACGGCGAGUGAAGCGGGAUGAGCUCAAAUUUAAAAUCUGGCUGGUUUACUAGUCCGAAUUGUAGUUUAUAGAAGCGUUUUCGGUGGCAGCCUGGGUAUAAAUCCUUUGGAAUAGGGUAUCAUAGAGGGUGAGAAUCCCGUCUUUGACUCAGUGCAUGCUACUAUGUGAUACGUUUUCAAAGAGUCGAGUUGUUUGGGAAUGCAGCUCAAAAUGGGUGGUAAAUUUCAUCUAAGGCUAAAUAUUGGCGAGAGACCGAUAGCGAACAAGUACCGUGAGGGAAAGAUGAAAAGAACUUUGAAAAGAGAGUUAAACAGUGCGUGAAAUUGUUGAAAGGGAAACGCUUG
Molecule: ribosomal RNA, 967 nt
Filed under: uncultured fungus
Lineage: Eukaryota; Fungi
Description: eukaryotic LSU rRNA
Rfam family: Eukaryotic large subunit ribosomal RNA (bases 539-967)
Source: RNAcentral